RNAcentral lists this ribosomal RNA (664 nucleotides) under alpha proteobacterium GWS-TZ-H119. Its description in RNAcentral is "bacterial SSU rRNA". It matches the Rfam family "Bacterial small subunit ribosomal RNA", at positions 12 to 722 of the family's 1533-position model. The record is from RNAcentral. Lineage: Bacteria; Pseudomonadati; Pseudomonadota; Alphaproteobacteria.
UUUGAUCAUGGCUCAGAACGAACGCUGGCGGCAGGCCUAACACAUGCAAGUCGAGCGCACUUGCGGUGAGCGGCGGACGGGUUAGUAACGCGUGGGAACGUGCCCUUUUCUACGGAAUAGCCUGCGGAAAUUGAGAGUAAUACCGUAUACGCCCUUCGGGGGAAAGAUUUAUCGGAGAAGGAUCGGCCCGCGUUGGAUUAGGUAGUUGGUGGGGUKAUGGCCUACCAAGCCGACGAUCCAUAGUCGGUUUGAGAGGAUGAUCAGCAACAUCGGGACUGAGACACGGCCCAGACUCCUACGGGAGGCAGCAUGGGGGAKUCUUAGACAAUGGGGGAAACCCUGAUCUGACCAUGCCGCGUGAGUGACGAAGGCCCUUAGGGUCUGAAAGCUCUUUCAGCUGUGAAGAUAAUGACGGUAGCAGCAGAAGAAACCCCGGCUAKCUCCGUGCCCAGCAGCCGCGGUAAUACGGAGGGGGUUAGCGUUGUUCGGAAUUACUGGGCGUAAAGCGCGCGUAGGCGGACUAUUAAGUCAGAGGUGAAAUCCCAGGGCUCAAUCCCUGGAACUGCCUUUGAUAGUGGUAGUCUUGAGUUCGAGAGAGGUGAGUGGAAUUCCGAGUGUAGAGGUGAAAUUCGUAGAUAUUCGGAGGAACACCAGUGGCGAAGGC